This 137-nucleotide ribosomal RNA is filed under the name uncultured eukaryote. Its description in RNAcentral is "partial 18S ribosomal RNA". It matches the Rfam family "Eukaryotic small subunit ribosomal RNA", at positions 1299 to 1458 of the family's 1831-position model. The record is from RNAcentral.
UGGUGGGGUGACUUGUCUGCUUAAUUGCGAUAACGAACGAGACCUUAACCUGCUAAAUAGCCCGCAUUGCUCCGGCAGUGCGCUGGUUUCUUAGAGGGACUUUCGGCUCAAGCCGAAGGAAGUUUGAGGCAAUAACA